UACAGAGGUCUCUAGCGUUGUUCGGAUUCAUUGGGCGUAAAGGGUGUGUAGGUGGCGCCGUAAGUCGGGUGUGAAAUUUCGGAGCUUAACUCCGAAACUGCAUUCGAUACUGCGGGUCUUGAGGACUGGAGAGGAGACUGGAAUUCAUGGUGUAGCAGUGAAAUGCGUAGAGAUCAUGAGGAAGACCAGUGGCGAAGGCGGGUCUCUGGACAGUUCCUGACACUGAGACACGAAGGCCAGGGGAGCAAACGGG
RNAcentral lists this ribosomal RNA (253 nucleotides) under uncultured bacterium. RNAcentral's name for it is "partial 16S ribosomal RNA". It matches the Rfam family "Bacterial small subunit ribosomal RNA", at positions 524 to 776 of the family's 1533-position model. The record is from RNAcentral.